This 507-nucleotide ribosomal RNA is filed under the name uncultured bacterium. RNAcentral describes it as "partial 16S ribosomal RNA". It matches the Rfam family "Bacterial small subunit ribosomal RNA", at positions 29 to 507 of the family's 1533-position model. The record is from RNAcentral.
ACGAACGCUGGCGGCGUGCCUAAUACAUGCAAGUCGAACGCUUCUUUCCUCCCGAGUGCUUGCACUCAAUUGGAAAGAGGAGUGGCGGACGGGUGAGUAACACGUGGGUAACCUACCCAUCAGAGGGGGAUAACACUUGGAAACAGGUGCUAAUACCGCAUAACAGUUUAUGCCGCAUGGCAUAAGAGUGAAAGGCGCUUUCGGGUGUCGCUGAUGGAUGGACCCGCGGUGCAUUAGCUAGUUGGUGAGGUAACGGCUCACCAAGGCCACGAUGCGUAGCCGACCUGAGAGGGUGAUCGGCCACACUGGGACUGAGACACGGCCCAGACUCCUACGGGAGGCAGCAGUAGGGAAUCUUCGGCAAUGGACGAAAGUCUGACCGAGCAACGCCGCGUGAGUGAAGAAGGUUUUCGGAUCGUAAAACUCUGUUGUUAGAGAAGAACAAGGACGUUAGUAACUGAACGUCCCCUGACGGUAUCUAACCAGAAAGCCACGGCUAACUACGUG